GGACUACAAGGGUAUCUAAUCCUGUUUGCUCCCCACGCUUUCGCGUCUCAGCGUCAGUUACCGUCCAGGUGGCCGCCUUCGCCACUGGUGUUCCUCCCGAUAUCUACGAAUUUCACCUCUACACCGGGAAUUCCGCCACCCUCUCCGGCACUCAAGCUUGAUAGUUUUGGGCGCACUUCCUCGGUUAAGCCGAGGGCUUUCACACCCAACUUGCCAAGCCGCCUACACGCGCUUUACGCCCAAUAAUUCCGAACAACGCUCGCACCCUCUGUAUUACCGCGGCUGCUGGCAC
RNAcentral lists this ribosomal RNA (292 nucleotides) under uncultured bacterium. RNAcentral describes it as "partial 16S ribosomal RNA". The record is from RNAcentral.